Molecule: unclassified non-coding RNA, 520 nt
Filed under: uncultured Diversispora
Lineage: Eukaryota; Fungi; Glomeromycota; Glomeromycetes; Diversisporales; Diversisporaceae
Description: SSU rRNA
Rfam family: Eukaryotic small subunit ribosomal RNA
Source: RNAcentral
AGCAGCCGCGGUAAUUCCAGCUCCAAUAGCGUAUAUUAAAGUUGUUGCAGUUAAAAGCUCGUAGUUGAACUUCGGGGUUUACCCAUUGGUCAGGCUUAAUUGUCUGUACUGGUGAGAUAAAUCUCUACCUUCUGAGGAACUUUCAUGCCAUUUAUUUGGUGUGAUUGGAAAUCAGGACCAUUACUUUGAAAAAUUGAGUGUUUAAAGCAGGCUAACGUCUGAAUAUAUUAGCAUGGAAUAAUGAAAUAGGACGGCUUGGUUCUAUUUCGUUGGUUUCUAGGAUCACCGUAAUGAUUAAUAGGGAUAGUUGGGGGCAUUAGUAUUCAAUUGUCAGAGGUGAAAUUCUUGGAUUUAUUGAAGACUAACUACUGCGAAAGCAUUUGCCAAGGAUGUUUUCAUUAAUCAAGAACGAAAGUUAGGGAUCGAAGACGAUCAGAUACCGUCGUAGUCUUAACCAUAAACUAUGCCGACUAGGGAUCGGACGAAGUUAAUUUUAUAAUGACGCGUUCGGCACCUUACG